GCUGGAGUUGGGGCUCAGGGGUAGAGCACUUGCCCGCUAUGUAUGAGGCCCUGGGUUCUAUCCUCAGCACAGCA
RNAcentral lists this transfer RNA (74 nucleotides) under Marmota monax (woodchuck). RNAcentral describes it as "tRNA.Ser". The record is from RNAcentral. Lineage: Eukaryota; Metazoa; Chordata; Mammalia; Rodentia; Sciuridae.